Molecule: transfer RNA, 73 nt
Filed under: Belgica antarctica
Lineage: Eukaryota; Metazoa; Arthropoda; Insecta; Diptera; Chironomidae
Description: tRNA IU25_tRNA_11
Source: RNAcentral
UAGCCCCUAGUGAGGGUCGAACUCACGACCUCUGGAUUAGGAGUCCAAUGCGCUUUCCACUGCGCCAUAGGGG